RNAcentral lists this long non-coding RNA (5111 nucleotides) under Homo sapiens (human). Its description in RNAcentral is "family with sequence similarity 182 member A (FAM182A)". The record is from RNAcentral. Lineage: Eukaryota; Metazoa; Chordata; Mammalia; Primates; Hominidae.
AUUCAAAUACAUUUACACAGAGGCCCAGGCACAGACAAGGAUGAAAUAGGAGCCAAGGUAUGCUAUGAGCCAAGGAUUAUGAGUAAUCCAGUUUUGUGCACUUUAAGCCAUUUGAAAAACAGAAAAGCAAAACAACAAAAUAAUUUUUAAGAAAUUGAAUAUAGGGUGUUAUGCUCUGAAUGUGUCCCCCUAAAAUUAAUCACCAAUGUCAUAAGAUUAGGAAGUAGGGCUUUAAGGUAGUGAUUCAGUCAUGAAGGGAGAGUGUUCACGAAUGAGUUUAGGAUCCUUACACAAGGACUGGAUGGAGUGGGCUUCCCCUGUUUUGCCCUUCCACCUUCUGCCAUGUGAGGACACAGUGCAUCUCCUCCUGAAGACACAGUGCACAAGAUACCAUCUUGGAUGCAGAGACCAGACCCUCACCAGACACCAAUCCUGCUGGCACCUUGAUCUUGGACUUCUAGCCUAUGGAACUGUAAGAUUGGGGAAGAUGCCAGGUGAUAGAAUCCACCCUGCCUCUGACAGCAUCCAAUCUGGAGCAAAGGCUUAUUUCAACCCUCCCCCAAGCUCCCAAUACAAGCCCAAAUUCUGGAACAGGUCCUUUCCAACACCUCCUUCAGAGAAGCUCCCUGGCUCCAGGCAGUGCUUGCUCCCCUCACUGCAGCAGGAAGCCUAACUUGCGAACUGCAGGUGUGCUCCAGGUGGUCACUGGAUGCAAGGCAUUGACAGAUGGAUCCCAUCGAUACCCCCACUGCAAAACCAUAGUGCAGUGAAUAGAAGACACUUCUCUGCACCCCAAAAGCUCCAUGCUGAUUGUGAGAAGGAAAUGCUGGAUGGAGGGGUUCCUGGAACUACUGUGAGGGUUUCUUUUGAUUUCUCCUGCUUAGAAAUGGUGAGAGAACUUUGGAUGUGGAACGUGGAGGAGGAGGAACACGAAGUGGGGAUCUCCACUUGGGGUGGUCAGCACUGCGGGUGCCCAGCAAAGUCACUGCCUGGUCCACAUCCCGGAGGGGUCUCUGCGCCUCAGUCGGCAUCGCAGCUGAUGGUGAAACUUUUGGUGUGGCAGAAGAGUGUCCACAAACUUCGGAAGAUCGCUGCUCAGAGUGAGGAAUGGAGUUGUGUUUUGAAUAAAAUAUCCACGCAUCCUUUUGUGAGCAAGGAGCAUGAUGGUACUUAGACCUACCAUUUCUCGUUAUGGUGGUUGCGGUUACAGUGGGGCUGGGGUGUUUACCUGGAGCCUGGACAUCCACUGGGACAUGAUACCCACUGGGAAUUUUUUGUGUCAAUCUGGUCUCUGAUGUCCACCUGGGGAUUGGGUAUCCACCUAAGGCCUGAUGUUUACCUGGAGCCAGAUGUGCACCUGAGACCUGAUGUCUAUCUGUGGCCUUAUGUUCCCCUGGGGACCGAUGCACACCUGAAGGAUAGGUAUUCAUCUGGGGCCUGAUACCCACCAGUAGUAUGGGUGUCAACCUUGGGGCUAGUGUUCAGCUGGCGUCCACUGUCUACUUGGGGCCUGGUGUACACAUGGGGCCUGGGCAUCCACCUGAGACUUGAUGUUUAAUAUGGUCUGGAGUUCUUUUGGGGCCUGUUGUACCCUGGAGCCUGGGUGUACACCUGGAGCCUGAUGUCCCAGGUGAACAACUGGGUCCCAGGUGAUCUUCAGGCCCUAGGUGAAAACUCCAGGCUCUAAGUGGACAACCAGGCUCCAGGCUGAUGUUUACUGGGGCCAGAUGUCUACCAGGCCCCAGGUGAAAUCCCCAGGCUCCAAAUGGACAACAUAGCCCCAGGUUCCAGGUAGACAUUGGAAUCCAAAUCAACACCAGGCCCCAGAUGGACACCCAGGCCUGUGGUGGACAUCAGACUGCAGAAGGUCAUCUGGCUCGAGGUGGACAUCAAGCCCCAGGUGGAUACCUAGUCCCCAGGUGGAUAUCAGGCCCCACUUUGACACCAGUCCCUGGGUAGAUACCUUGGCCUCAGGUGGAUAUCCAGUCUCUAGCUAAGCAUCAGGCUCCAGGGGGACCCAGGCCCUAGCUGACUGGGGACUAGUGUUCAUAUGGGGCCACAUGUCCAUCUGGGCCCUAGGUGUCAACUUGUAGCCUGAUGUCAACCUGGAAGCUGGUGUUCACCAGAGAGGACUAAAGUCCUCCUGGUGCCUGGUGUCCAACUUGGGACUUUGUGUCCACCUGGAGACCGAUGUCCACUUGGGACCAGAUGUCCAGCUGGAGCAAGAUGUCCACCUGCAGCCUAAAACUUCACCUAAGGCCUGAUGUUCCCCAGGGCCUACAGAGCCUAUGUAUCUACCUAGGGACUUGUGUCCAGGUGGGGCCUGAAUUCCACCUGGGGCCUGGAAUUAACCUGGGACCUGAUGUCCACCUGAGACGUGGGUGUUCCUCUGGAGUCUGAUAUCUAUCUGGGGCCCGGGUGUCCUCCUGUGGUCUGAUGUCCACUUGUAGGCUGGUGUCCACCUGGGGCCUGGGUGUCCACCUAGGAACCUGAUGUAUACCUGAAGUCCAGUGUCUACGUGGGUACUGAUGUCUACCAGGAAAGUGAUAUAAACCUGGGGCCUGAUAGCCACCUGGGCCCUGAGUGUCCACAUAUGUUCUGAUUUCUCUUUUGGCCUUAGUGUAGGGCCUGAGUGCCACCUGCUUCCUGAUGUUCACCAGGAACCUAGGUAUUCACUUGGGGCUUGCUGUUCACCUGGGACCUAAUGUCCAUGUGAGGCCUGGUAUUCAGCUAGAGCCUGGGCAUCCCCCUGUGGCCUGAAGUUCAGUUGCUGACUAGGAAUUCCACUAAAGCUUGAUGUCCACCUGGGGCAUAGGUAACCACUUGUGGCCUAGUGUUGCCCUGAAGCCUAGGUGUCAACCCAGGGCAUAAUGUCCCCUUGGGGCCUGCUGUCCACCUGCAGACUGGUGUCUACAUAGGGCCUGGUAUCCACCUGGGGUCUGGUGUCUGCCUGGGGCCUAGUGUCCACCUGAAGACUGAGUAUAGACCUCAGAUCUGAUGUAUGCCUGGGGCCUAUUUAUCCACCUGGGGACUAGCAUUCAUCUGGGGCCUCAUGUCCACUUAAGCCCUGGGUGUCAACCUGGUGCCUAAUGGCCACCAGGGAUCUAUGUACUCACUUGGGGCCUGGUGCUCCCACAGGGCCUAGGUAUAAACCUGGAGAAUGAUGUGCAGGUGGAGGUGGAUGUCUUCCUGGGUGCUGGUGUUCACCUGGGGACAAGGGUCUCCCUGGGGACCAGUGUUUAUCGGGAGCCUCAUAUGCACCUUGAACCUGCUGUCUACCUAGGGCCCGAUGUCCAUGUUAAGGCUGGGUGUCCACCUGGGACCUGGUUGUCCACUUGGGGCCUAAUGUCCACCUAAGACCUAGUGUUCACCUAGGGCCUGGGUGUCCACCUGGAGCCUGAUGUUCAGCUGGAGAUGCAUCCAUCCGAAACCUAGGUAUCCACCCAGGUUCUGGUGUCGACCUGGGGUCUUAUGUCCACCUGGGGACUAGAUAUCUACCUGAGGCUUGAUGUCCACCUGGAGCCCGAUAUCCACCUCAGAGCUGGGUGUCCACCCAAGUUCUGGUAUCCACCCGGAGCCUGGUGUUCAUCUGGGGCCCAGUGCCCACCUGGAACCUGGGUAUCACCAUGGGGCCUGGGUGUCCACUUGGAACGUGAUGUGCACCUGGGACCUGAGUUUCCACCUAGGGCCUGAUGACCACCGGAGACCCAGGUGUCCACCUGGGGUCUGAUGUCUACCUGAAGCCUAGGUAACCACCUGUGCCUUGGUGUUACCUGUGCCUUGAUUUCCACCUGAGCCUGAUGUACACCUGGGGCCUGGGUGUCCAUCUGAGGCCUGAUGUACACCUCAAGUCCAGUGUCCACUUGUGGCCUGAUGUCAACUUGGAAGCUGAUAUCCACCUGGGGACUGAUGUUCUCCUGGGGUCUGAUAUCCAACUGGGAUCAGAUGUUCACCUAAGGCCUGGAGUUAAUCUGGGGCCUGAUGGUCACCAGGGACCCAGGUGUCCACCUAGGGCCUAGUGACCAACUAGGGCCUGAUGUCCACCUGGAGUCUAGUAUCCGCCUUGGCCCUGAUGCUACUUGAGGCCUGGGUGUCUUCCUAGAACCUGAGUCCCCAACUGGGCCCUGAUGUCCACCUGAGGCCUGGUGUCCUUGUAGGGCCUGAUAUCUACCUAAGGCCUGGGUAUCCUCCUGCAGCCUGAUGCUCACCUGUAGGCUGGUGUCCAUAUGGGGCCUGGGUGUUCACCUGUGAGCCUGAUGUACACCUGGAGUCCGGUGUCCCCUUGGUUACUAAUACGUACCAGGAAAAUGGUAUAUACCUGGGGCCUGAUAUACACCUGGAGCCUGUGUGUCCACUUGAGCCCUGAUGUCCACCUGGGGCCUGGUGUUUACCUGGGGCCUCUAUCCACCCACUACCGAAAGUCAAGUUAGGAAAAGGGCCCAGGAUAGGUGAGGAGCACAGAACAGGGACCUCAUUCAUAAGAAAUUCUGCUGUAGAAUGUGUGCUCUAAGCUCUUAAAACAGCUCUGCCUCAGGAAAGACUGUCCAGGGCAUAGGAAGCCCACACACAGGGUGGGAUGACAAGUUUGCAUCUGGCACGGCUGGGAGCCCUGGGGGCCUCUGCCCUUUUGGCCGCGUUGUCUCCUGGCUUUUAGGGUGGUGGGAUUCUCGGCUCUGAUUGCAGCAGGUGGAUUCACUUAGCUCUCCUCCCCUUUUAGCAUUACUGUCUUCUGUAAUAAACCUCUCACUUUGAUCUGCCAGGCUGUCAAAUGCUUUGAUUGCCCUCUCUGUUUUGUUCCAAUGGUUCAUCAAUCCAAAUAUCCACAACACAAGGACAGAUUUUAGUCUCUUCAUACAGUGGGAUAUUUCACAGCUAUUAAAACAAAUCAAAUAAAUGCUUGUGUAUUGAUAUGCAAAGUUGUCCUGCAUCAAUAACUUUUAAACACAUUUUAUGAUCCCACAUCUAUAUCUAUACAUAAUGUUUGCCACUGCUUAAACAAAACAAAAUCUAAGCUUUAGACUCCAAAUGGAAUUACAGGGGAAUCUUGAUGUCUGUGUUCUGCAGUUCUGUCAUGUUUGAAAUUGUCAAAUAAACAUGGUGCCUUUCCAGUA